CCUGUUAUAGAUAUUUUGACCAAUAAUAAAAGAGAAAUGUAGAUGGGUAAGUGGUAGUGUACAAUCGGAAUAGAAAAAAGCUCACCUUGUUCAAUUUUUCAGGGAUACUAAAAAAAAAAAAAAAAUCCAUCGAAGGAUAUUUGAGCUACAGUAGGACAUUCAAUGAAAUCACGAAAUUUUGACGAACAAAGUCCCAUAACUCUGGAACGACAAUUCAGAAUUCCGUCAAAAACGAAAGGGGAUCAGGGUUUAUCAAUAUUAAGAUUGUGUUAAAAUUUGAAGAAAAUCUGUCAAAGGAUAUUUGACGUAGCGUACGACAUUAACAGACGGACGGACGGACGGACGGACAGACGGACGCGGGGUAUACCAUAAUACGUCCCGUCAUAGA
Long non-coding RNA from Dreissena polymorpha, 388 nucleotides. RefSeq lists it as uncharacterized. The transcript is spliced from 2 exons. The record is from RefSeq and is a predicted model, not a curated record. NCBI's taxonomy places the organism in Eukaryota, Metazoa, Mollusca, Bivalvia, Myida, Dreissenidae.